CUGAGAUCUAGGGGUCAAGGGAGUGACGUCAAGGCUGUGAUUAUGGGCUGGGGCCAGGUUUGUGGAGUUAGGGGAUUCAGUCAAAGGUCAAAGCGAGGCGCCUCCCGUUCCCCCUCUCUUUACUGGGUCAUUCCCACCCCCAUACAAACAGGCUGGCUCCCAGCUUAAAAACAGGACAUAAACAAAAGAUCCUCUUCCUUUAAUGGUAGAAUUGUCAUGUCACCAUUUUGCAGCCCUUAUUGGAAUAUUGGUGGUUCUAGACAAGGACUCUCAUUCCCUCCUAACGUCAUGAAAGAGGGACAACUGGAUUUAAUGUGCCUCCUGCUAGAAGGCACCCUCAACUGAGAGGUCAUUUGCCAAAAAGCGGAACGUGAAUCCGAUCAGAUUUGUCUAGAUUCAUACACCAGGUUACCAGAAAUACCAAGGACAGAAUCGCAUCAUCAAAAUUCAGACAGAGGGAAAGUCCACAAGACAAACAACGAUGUUUCUCCAACAGGUGAAUUUCAAGGAAAGAGAAGAAAAAGAGGGAGAGAUUGAGAGAUUAAGGGGAAACCUGCAGUAAUAAGACACUUAAAGGUUUAUCAACCAGCGGCAAUGCCUGCACCUUAUUGGGAUCCUGACUGGAACAAACUAAAAAAAAGAAAUAGCGACAACCAGGGAAAUUUUGACAUGGGUUGAAUAUUCGACCAUGCUCUUUGUCAACCUCCUCACCACCCCACUGGCAUCUACCUCCCACCCUUUCAAGCCCCAUGGGAACUGAUCUGGGGUGAGAUGCCCGUGUCCAUCAUGGACAGAGUCCCAUCCACUGCUUCAAUUCCGAUGAGGUCUUAAUUGCGGCAUGCAGG
Delphinapterus leucas (beluga whale) is the source of this 845-nucleotide non-coding RNA. The record is from RefSeq and is a predicted model, not a curated record. Lineage: Eukaryota; Metazoa; Chordata; Mammalia; Artiodactyla; Monodontidae.